GGGGCCGUAGCUCAGCUGGGAGAGCGUCGCGUUCGCAAUGCGAAGGCCAGGGGUUCGAUUCCCCUCGGCUCCACCA
RNAcentral lists this transfer RNA (76 nucleotides) under Magnetococcales bacterium. RNAcentral describes it as "tRNA-Ala". It matches the Rfam family "tRNA". Rfam says of the family: Transfer RNA (tRNA) molecules are approximately 80 nucleotides in length. Their secondary structure includes four short double-helical elements and three loops (D, anti-codon, and T loops). Further hydrogen bonds mediate the characteristic L-shaped molecular structure. tRNAs have two regions of fundamental functional importance: the anti-codon, which is responsible for specific mRNA codon recognition, and the 3' end, to which the tRNAs corresponding amino acid is attached (by aminoacyl-tRNA synthetases). tRNAs cope with the degeneracy of the genetic code in two manners: having more than one tRNA (with a specific anti-codon) for a particular amino acid; and 'wobble' base-pairing, i.e. permitting non-standard base-pairing at the 3rd anti-codon position. Lineage: Bacteria; Pseudomonadati; Pseudomonadota; Magnetococcia; Magnetococcales. The record is from RNAcentral.